AUGACGCAUACUAUUUUUCUACUUACAGCAACCAAACCCAACCUUUAUCUCGCGCAACAAUUAACCCCCUUCCAAUUUCCUCCAUCAAUUUCGCAAGUAGUCCGUAAUCCUUCUGCCAAGAUCUAUUCUGCGAUUUCGAGCACCAUCAAUUUCCAGUUUCGGCUUUUCGGUUUUCAAAAAUCGUUUCAAGUAUUCAUUCCCGCAUAG
Molecule: non-coding RNA, 207 nt
Organism: Vicia faba (fava bean)
Lineage: Eukaryota; Viridiplantae; Streptophyta; Magnoliopsida; Fabales; Fabaceae
Source: the annotation of a GenBank genome assembly